UACGUAGGGUGCGAGCGUUAAUCGGAAUUACUGGGCGUAAAGCGUGCGUAGGCGGUCCGCGAAGUCUGAUGUGAAAGCCCCGGGCUCAACCUGGGAACUGCAUUGGAAACUAACGGGCUCGAGUGUGGCAGAGGGGGAUGGAAUUCCACGUGUAGCAGUGAAAUGCGUAGAGAUGUGGAGGAACACCGAUGGCGAAGGCAGCCCCCUGGGCUAACACUGACGCUCAGGCACGAAAGCGUGGGGAGCAAACAGG
This 253-nucleotide ribosomal RNA is filed under the name uncultured bacterium. RNAcentral describes it as "partial 16S ribosomal RNA". It matches the Rfam family "Bacterial small subunit ribosomal RNA", at positions 524 to 776 of the family's 1533-position model. The record is from RNAcentral.